AGACUUUUCGGACACAAACAUUUAUUUCUGAUCUGAGCAGGAGAUAAUGAGCCAGAAGGAUUCACAGUGGGACAGAGGAACCUCCUAAGAGUCCCAUUGCGUAGUGCUCCUCUCUCAGGGAGAGAACGAGAGAAGCAAAAAAUCCUUCUGCCCACCCUUUUGCCUUGAUGGGAGAAGAUUUUUCAUCUGAGCAUCUGCUGGAUGAUCAGACGCAUGGCAUUGCUCUGGGAGCAACAGUGGGUGGGUGGGAGACCAGCAAGGCCAGGGAGAAGGGCAGUGGUGUGGGCCUGUGAGGACGGAUGGUGGGCGGAUGCUAACAGGUUCCCCCCGCGUUGGGUCCUUUGCAGGCUCCACAGCUUCAACCUCUCAGAUGGCUCCUGUAAGCCACUCUCAUCCGCUCUUGCCAGGAACUCCAGCCUUUGGCAUCUGAAUCUGUCUGGGAAUAUUUUCACUGACCAGUGUGCUGCUGACACGAAGAUCCUCAUCCAGAGGUGUCCCAACCUCACUGAAAUCUGGCCGGGCUUGAAUGACUUCACCCUUGCAGUGGAGUGGCAGCUGAAGAACCUGCAGAGAGAAGGGCUGAAGAUGGUUUUUUGCAGUAGCUCUCUGGCAAGGCGCUGGUGCUCUGCUUGGGAAACCAUACAGAGCUGGGCAACGUGAGCUCUUGUCUGCCACAGCGAGCCCGGAGCUGCAUUUUGUAGCACAUACACGGGCAAGAAGCUUGUACAACGAGAGGCUCACUAACAGGCAGGCUCUGAUGAAUGGCAGCAGAUUGCUCACCUGCUUGGACCCUUUCUGCUGCCAGUCUGUGUCCUGUGGCUUCUUUCUUGGGGUGAUGGCAGCAACCUUUUUGGCUUGCUGCUGGCAUGACAGGACACUGAGGAAAGGGAUUGGCAGAAGGAACUGUGGCUGAAUGUUCAGGCACCCUCGCCGUGUCCAAGCCUUCCCGAAGGGAGGAAGGAAGCUGAGACAUGGUAUAUGGAGCACCCCAGUGUCAGCAUGGAGCGGUAACACCCAGAUAAGGAAGCUGAUCCAGUGCAAGGCAUAAUUACUUUGACUGCAGCCCAAAAGGGGCGGCAGAAGCCAGAAGGCCUUGCCUUGGCCCAGGGCACAUGUUUAUGUGCCAGUGCCAUCUGAUGUGAUGCAAGAGCCAUCUCCUUAUUGCUAUCCUCGAGGCAGCCUGUUUGAUACCUGCCUGCUCCGUAUCUGUCCUCUUCCUCAUGCUGAGGGGCUCAGGCUCCCACUGAGUUACUGUAGUGGUUGAGGUGCCAUUGGCUUUAGGGUUGGGAGCACCUUGCCAGUGGAUUCCCCACUUUGCCGGUCCCCAGGGAGGUGGCUGCAGGGCUCUGUGAAUGGACAGGCGGGCCGGGGGCCGAGGAGGCGUGAAGGUUGCUGGAGGAGAAUGAGUGCUCAGGGAAGGUGAGGCUGCAGGUUUGAGGGCUUCUUUAGCCUCCCUGUAGGCCCAGCAUCUCCCCUUUGCUCUUGCAAACAGGGUGCACGACCCCAUGGGUGAAUGGUGUCUCAAUGAGGGAGUGGUGGAGAGCAUCGUGUUCAGCUAAGGGCUCCCUCCAUCCGACCUUUGCCAACCAAAUGCUGUCCCAACCAACAGUCUUGGAGAUCUUGGGGAUGCUGGAAGGUCCCAAGUGGUGGCUUUUCAGUU
Molecule: long non-coding RNA, 1660 nt
Organism: Struthio camelus australis
Lineage: Eukaryota; Metazoa; Chordata; Aves; Struthioniformes; Struthionidae
Source: Ensembl